GGGGAGGUGCCCGAGUGGCCAAAGGGAGCAGACUGUAAAUCUGCCGGCGUAGGCCUACGAAGGUUCGAAUCCUUCCCUCCCCACCA
This 86-nucleotide transfer RNA is filed under the name bacterium. RNAcentral's name for it is "tRNA-Tyr". It matches the Rfam family "tRNA". Rfam says of the family: Transfer RNA (tRNA) molecules are approximately 80 nucleotides in length. Their secondary structure includes four short double-helical elements and three loops (D, anti-codon, and T loops). The record is from RNAcentral. RNAcentral also lists the same sequence under 2 other names.